UACGUAGGGUGCGAGCGUUGUCCGGAAUUACUGGGCGUAAAGAGCUCGUAGGUGGUUUGUCGCGUCGUCUGUGAAAUUCCGGGGCUUAACUUCGGGCGUGCAGGCGAUACGGGCAAUACUUGAGUGCUGUAGGGGAGACUGGAAUUCCUGGUGUAGCGGUGAAAUGCGCAGAUAUCAGGAGGAACACCGAUGGCGAAGGCAGGUCUCUGGGCCACUACUGACGCUGAGAAGCGAAAGCAUGGGGAGCGAACAGGAUUAGAUACCCCGGUA
Molecule: ribosomal RNA, 270 nt
Filed under: uncultured prokaryote
Description: partial 16S ribosomal RNA
Rfam family: Bacterial small subunit ribosomal RNA
Source: RNAcentral